Molecule: non-coding RNA, 101 nt
Organism: Emericellopsis atlantica
Lineage: Eukaryota; Fungi; Ascomycota; Sordariomycetes; Hypocreales; Bionectriaceae
Source: the annotation of a RefSeq genome assembly
UCCGAUAUAGUCUAACGGUUAGGAUGCGGCGCUUUCAGGUGUUCCGUUCAAGGAGCUACCAGAGAUCCGCCGAGGCCGGGGUUCGAUUCCCCGUAUCGGAG